UGCAGUCGAGCGAGAAGUUUACUUCUAGCGGCGAACGGGUGAGUAACACGUAUCUAACCUGCCCAUCAAUCUGGAAUAACAACGAGAAAUUGUUGCUAAUGCCGGAUAGGUAAUAUUUACUUAUGUUUAUAUUAUUAAAGGAGCGUUUGCUUCGUUGAUGAAUGGGGAUGCGCAGCAUUAGGUAGUUGGUAGGGUAAAGGCCUACCAAGCCAACGAUGCUUAGCCGGCCUGAGAGGGUGAUCGGCCACACUGGAACUGAGACACGGUCCAGACUCCUACGGGAGGCAGCAGUAGGGAAUUUUCGACAAUGGGGGAAACCCUGAUCGAGCAACACCGCGUGAGGGAUGAAGGAUUUCGGUCUGUAAACCUCUGUUGUAAGGGAAGAACAAGUAGAAUAGGAAAUGAUUUUACUCUGACGGUACCUUACCAGAAAGCGACGGCUAACUUCGUGCCAGCAGCCGCGGUAAUACGAAGGUCGCAAGCGUUAUCCGGAAUCACUGGGCAUAAAGCGUCUGUAGGUUGUUUAGUAAGUCUGCUGUUAAAUACUAGGGCUUAACCCUAGGCCAGCAGUGGAAACUGCUAGACUUGAGUGUGGUAGAGGUAGAGGGAAUUCCUAGUGUAGCGGUGAAAUGCGUAGAUAUUAGGAAGAACACCAAUGGCGAAAGCACUCUACUGGGCCAUAACUGACACUGAGAGACGAUAGCUAGGGGAGCAAAUGGGAUUAGAUACCCUGGUAGUCCCCU
RNAcentral lists this ribosomal RNA (743 nucleotides) under uncultured bacterium. Its description in RNAcentral is "bacterial SSU rRNA". It matches the Rfam family "Bacterial small subunit ribosomal RNA", at positions 56 to 800 of the family's 1533-position model. The record is from RNAcentral.